UAACCCCAUCCACUCCCACUUGCUCCCCUCUCCCUCUGGCCUCUCUCCCUCCCUCGCCAGAUCCAUGCGCCCGAUCGCCUCCGACGCCGUUCGUCGCCCACCACCGCGGCGACCACCUUCCCCCGUGCUCCUUCGACUGGUCCAACCACUCCACCGGCAUCCGCUGCUACCUCUACGUCGACGCGCGUGAGCCGAGGAGCCGCACAGCACCGGAUCCACCUUGUCUUCUUCCUCGGGUCGCCGCCGUCUUCCUCAACUCCGGCCACCUCUACUGCUACUAAGCUCUCGCAGGGCCUCCUUGUGCCUCCCCGGCGAAUUUGGGGCUGAGGGAAGAAGAGGAGGAGCGACUUCUCUCUGGUCUGGUGGUUGCAACUUCAGGACAAGGUAAGAAAGUGUAUGAUAUGCCUGCACCUACUGCAAUCAUUGGAUCUAUUAGUGCUUAUGCGUGGUAGUGCCAGCUGCAGUUGUUCCUACUAGCUGCCUGGUGGUAGUCAGCCCUUGCUUGGUUUAUAGUUUUUUUGAACUGCUGACAGAAGCCUGGAUUGUAGUUCUAUUGAUUGAUUUGGCGAAAGCUUGAACCUUUAAGCUACUGUUUUGAUAUUAAGUGGAUUACAUGAACCAGUUUGGUACUA
This is a long non-coding RNA of Aegilops tauschii subsp. strangulata, 632 nucleotides long. RefSeq lists it as uncharacterized. Lineage: Eukaryota; Viridiplantae; Streptophyta; Magnoliopsida; Poales; Poaceae. The record is from RefSeq and is a predicted model, not a curated record.